GACGAACGCUGGCGGCGUGCUUAACACAUGCAAGUCGAACGGAAAGGCCUGCUUUCCCUUGUGGAUUGCGGGUACUCGAGUGGCGAACGGGUGAGUAACACGUGAGUGAUCUGCCCCCAACUUGGGUAUAAGCCUGGGAACCUGGGUCUAAUUCCCGAUAGGACUGCAGGGUGGUGCCUGUGGUGGAAAACGAUUUUCUAGUGGUUGGGGAUGAGCUCGCGGCCUAUCAGCUUGUUGGUGGGGUAAUGGCCUACCAAGGCGGCGACGGGUAGCCGGCCUGAGAGGGUGGACGGCCACAUUGGGACUGAGAUACGGCCCAGACUCCUACGGGAGGCAGCAGUGGGGAAUAUUGCACAAUGGGCGGAAGCCUGAUGCAGCGACGCCGCGUGGGGGAUGACGGCCUUCGGGUUGUAAACUCCUUUCGACCGCGAGGAAGCCACCUGGUUGGAAGGGUGGUGACGGUAGUGGUAGAAGAAGCACCGGCUAACUACGUG
RNAcentral lists this ribosomal RNA (494 nucleotides) under uncultured bacterium. RNAcentral describes it as "partial 16S ribosomal RNA". It matches the Rfam family "Bacterial small subunit ribosomal RNA", at positions 28 to 507 of the family's 1533-position model. The record is from RNAcentral.